RNAcentral lists this long non-coding RNA (4614 nucleotides) under Equus caballus (horse). RNAcentral describes it as "lncRNA (ENSECAG00000052410.1)". The record is from RNAcentral. Lineage: Eukaryota; Metazoa; Chordata; Mammalia; Perissodactyla; Equidae.
AUGACCAUUACUCUAAGUGGGCACAGCUGAGUGAGGACUCCAGCAAGGCCUCUUCGGAAGGAGACCGUGCAUGGCGACUCUUCGCCCCCUCGCCCACCUCCUCAUCUAUUUACUCGCCUAUUCCUGUGUUUACUCAUGUUUGUACUUGUUGAUUUAUUUUUUUAGCAUCUUUGUAGAAGACUAGGCAGCUGAGCUGGACGGAAGCCACUUGGUCACCGAAAGCCUUUCCCACGGGCCAAGAAAUGGCCGAUUUCUCUCAAAUGCUGUAUACUGGAAGAAUCCAAAGGAUUCAUCAGAUGGACACAUUUCAAAGAACCACUACCAAUUUUUUUUUCUUAAGAAGUGCAUCAAGCCUCUGAUUUGCUGCUGACAAAUUGUCUGCUCAGCAUGGAGGUCAUAAAGAUGAGUUUGAAAUGCCUCAAAGAGUGCAGCGCCUCAUGGGAGAGUCAGACAGAGAGGCAGCCAAGUCUAAAGCCAGUCCUCGCGGCCGGCAGGGCCCAGAGCUACGCAGAGUCCCAGGGCAGAGCGUGAUUAAAGUCCUAAAGUGCAGCAGGGAGAGCCGCCCCAGCCUGCGCCCCCAUGUGCCCCAAAGCCUGGUGAGUGCUUGCCGAGGAGCUGUAACAUCCAUAAUGUAAUAACACCAGUCAACAGGAAAACGGGGUUGCGUUACAGCAUUUCACUUGGAGUAAAUUUUGCCGAAAUGCCCAUAGUUACAAACUGAAGGACAGGCCGUCUACCAGAAAGCUUAAAAGCUGCGGGAAAGGAUUCUCUGUAACCCCUUUUCAGACCCCUUUGAGAGCUGGGCCACAAGGCUGACAAAAUGUAGGUGUUAAACCUCAAGUUUUUGAUCACAAAACGGACUGUAGGAUACGGACUAUAAAUUGUCAGAGGUUGAGGAUUAAUGACCAUUUUUCCUCCAUAUGUGGAGAAAUAAGCACUCAGAACAGAAACGCCCUCUAGCCAAACACCCGGGAUCCAGUCAGGCCUGGUACUGUGUUACCACCACCCUCUGAAGUAAGGUUUUGAAAAUAAACACUUGAAAGUCUGCCCAGAUUGUUGUAAUCUUAUUAAUCUAACAAAGAGACUCAGUAACCGCCUCAGCCAGGGGGAUGGUGUUUACCAUGUAAUUUGCAACAAGCUGAUAAACACACCCUUGCCCCACUUGCAGAAGAAUCCAUGCUCCCAGCAAGGAAGGAGUUGGCAGAGAAACAGUGAUAAAGGAUUAGAGACCAAAAACCCGCAGUGUGGGUCCUGGGUAAGCGUUUGCUGCCUCCCCUACCUGCUGGCCUCCCAGCCCCCUACCAUCUCCAGGUUCAGAGGUAUGGGUGUGGCUUCUGCCUGUCCUGCCCUCCCAAGGGCUCUGUCAUCAUGCCUCUGGCCCUUCCACCAUCAGCCUAACCCUGGUCUCCAGGGGGCAGUGAUAUUUGACGACACUGUUGAGCUUGGCUCCUCUAAGAGUUCUUGGCGGUGUGGAAAUUAAUAAGAAACCUCAACCAAAGUGGAGAGGUGGCGGCCUCUAGGGGGAGCUCUCGCACCCUAUCACACACCAUCAGUUACACCAAACGGGAAGAGACUCAUACUUGCAUCUCUGACAAGUACAACUACUUCACUACUGAAGGAAGAUUUCUCUCCCCACCCGGCAACAGCCCAGCCAAUGAGAAACACCACAGCUCAGCCAAUGAGAAACGCCGCAGCUCAGCCAAUGAGAGAUGCCGCAGCUCAGCCAAUGAGAGACGCCACAGCUCAGUCAAUGAGAAAUGCCACAGCUCAGCCAAUGAGAGAUGCCGCAGCUCAGCCAAUGAGAGAUGCCGCAGCUCAGCCAAUGAGAGAUGCCACAGCUCAGCCAAUGAGAAGCUGUUGUCACCCUGAACUGUAACUUCCCUCCAAUGGACUUUCCUUUAGAACAACCUCUCCUUACUCCCCACUUUUCUCUAGAAAAAGCAGCUCCCCUCCUUUAUUUUCUGGAUUUGCCUCUGGUUCACCGUAGCAUGUGCUUCCUGGAUUGCACUUGUUUUGGCUAUUCCUGAAUAAACUCAUUUUGAGGGUAAAUAGCAGGUGAAUUUGAUCCUGAAGUUGACAGUUGCAAACCAGUGGACAACCCCUGGCUAACUCACCAGAAAAGGAAUUUAUUGCAAGAGCAGAGGGCAGGGGCCAGGAAGGUUAGCAAUGGGGGUUAUGCCAAGUUACCACAGGGACAGUCCGGCUGCCCGGCCACACAGGCCUGCCACCCCUUCCUCAUGGCCACCAGCUCUGCAGAUCACCCCUAAGGGUCGUUGGGCACCUUUGUCUCACUCCCUCAGGAUUAAAAUCCCAAGAGGGGGUGUGUAUUUGGCUGCCCCCAGGCCCACCUUCACCCUCCUUUGUGUGGGGUAAGCCCUGCCUCCCACCAGGACCCACACAAGAGGAAGAGAUUUCAAUGUUGGGUAGUAAAAAAAAUGAAAAAUAUCCACUUCACUCUUCUAAAUAAUAACAGCUAACAUUUACUGAGCACUGUGCCAAGCAUGUUAAAUGGAUGAACUCACUGAGUCCUCACUAUAAGAAAGGACUCCAUUUUACCUAUGAGAAACUGAGGCACAAGAAACCAAGUAACAUGCUCAAGUUUACAGAGCUAGGAAGUCACAGAACUGUGAGUCCAACUUCACCAUGGGGUUUGGAGGGAGGUCGGUUACUGUCUGCAGAGGCUCUGGAAGCCACAUGUAAACCUCGCCUAAGAUGAGCCUCGCUCACAUGAGCUGGCUCACCCCGGUUUCCAUCUCUACCCUGCUCUCCUCCCCUGUGCCCUGUUUUGCUUUGCUUCCAGGCUCACCGACUCCCUCGCCCACCUCGUCCCUCUAGACUCUCGGCCAGGCCCUUGCACCCCCAUCUGCCUGCACAGGGCCCUUCUCUUAUUUAACCCUGGUUUGCAAGAGUAUGUGGCCCAAAUAGGAAAUGCACCAGGAGGCCGAAUGCCAUGAUUAAUUCUAUGUGAUAAAUUCCUCCACCAUAUUUUAAAAACUGUUUGUCCUUAUGAGAGUCUGUUCCAGGAUCUGAAUGACUGAGUAAAAAAGCAUAUUAACCUUUACAAAUCUAAUGUUUCUAAUUUUUAAAAAAGUGUCAUCAAUCAGUGAUUUUAGCACAUAUAGCAAUAGGAUUUGACAUUAAGGGAUGUCUAUUAUUUUUUAAAAACUGACAUACUUUGAAUCUGGUACGUGGCGGGCAGCUGAUCAAUAUCUGCCGCCUUAGGGAAUGGGAAUCAGAGGCCUGUGGCUCUGGUAUUGCAGCCUUUUUUGAAAGACUGACAUUCUUUUCGUGAACAUGUUACAAACAAAGCCUCAUUUUCAGUCUUAAAAUGUCCUGAUUUUUAAUUCCUUUAUUUAUUUCCCUGGUUCUUACCUCUUUUAGAUUGCUGAUUACUCCGCUUGCACUGUUGGGAGAGGGAUUUUUUCCUUAGAAGUAAUUUUAGUGACCCCACCCCCCAGCAGGAGAGAAUUUUUCCUGUUCCACGCCAUUACCGAAAUCUAAAUACGGCUAUUUAGUUUCUGAAUCUACUGGGGGCACUGUGUGCAUCAGUCUGUCUUCUGCAUGGCCCAUAUCCCACUGUAAUUUCUCAGCAAGACAUAAUAAUUAUCCAUAAUUGUAGUGGGCAUCACAGUCGGACAAAGUCAGAACAUUAAACCCAUCCUUCUAAAAACAAAAUACAGGUGGUGCACUGUGUCUUUUGCAGUCCCAAGUUGUGGGCAGAAGGUACCUGAUAAGCUCCUUAAACUCAAUUCUGAGUAAAGUUUCUAAAAUGACAUUAGGCCAAUACUUCAGAAAUAAAUCCGUUUUGAAUAAAAAGAAUUUAGGAUUUAAGACUCCAGGAGUGAUAUAAAAUGGAAAGGAAAGCCCUCAAAACGCCUUUUCUUAAAUCAGAAUGAUUGAAUUUGUUUCCACCAGCUUGAUCCUUUCCUGAAGGCGGCGAACCAGAGGCCCUCCAGUUGCCCUCAGACCUCUUGUCAAUCUCCUGCCACAAAAAUGAGGCAAUGUUACCUCCAGGCCUUUAUCCCACCUCCCCUCAGCCAGAGCACCUGCCAGGCUGCGUCAGAAAUGAGUGAUGCCAGCACAGAUGGACGUCCGCGCUCCAGCUCUGGGGGGCCCUCGGGAGGAGAGGAGGAGCCCCCAUAGCCAACGCCAGCCCCCCUCCCAGACAGUCGGGCUGACACUCCCUCCGGCGUGGAUCUGUCGUACCCCAUUGUCAGCGGCAGAGCGGGUGGGCAGAUGUGUGCGUGGUCAGAUGGCCGAGAUGCUGCCACAAUGGGGUGGCUGUUCGGCGUGUUUCUGCAGGAGGGUGACAGCCUAGCGGCAGCUGCAAAGUUACUUAAGGAGCUCGCCUCUCCCAGCAUCUAAACCCCAUAAAAGCAGUUUCCUUAAAACUUCUCUAAGGUUGCUGCUCACACUGUGAGUCCCUUGAGGGUAGCUACCUGGCUCACCGGGUGAAUUAAGCAUCUGGAGCAUCAACGAAACCUCUGUGGCCCGACAGCAGCGAUGGACAGGCUGAUGAGAGUCUCCUGAGGUUCCUGGGCCUCCUGUGGGGCACACAGACCUGUAGUCAGACAGCUGUGGGUUCCGAUUCCAGCCACCCGAGCAAGCUCCCUA